AUUGUGCAGAACAUGACGCCGCCAAACGCAAAGCUUUGGUUUCAAUGCUCAUGUAUGAGAUGGGCGGUAUACAGGUAGGAGAAGAAUGGGACGGGCGGUAUACAGGUAGGAGAGGAAUGGGACGGGCGGUAUACAGGUGAUACUCAAAAAAUUUGAAUAUCGUGCAAAAGUUCAUUUAUUUCAGUAAUGCAACGUAAAAUGGGAAAUAUAUGAGAGACGCAUUACAUGCAAAGCAAGAUGGUUAAAGCCGUGAUUUGUCAUAAGUGCGAUGAUCAUGAUUUACAGCUCAUGAAAACCCCAAAUCCACAAUCUCAGUAAAUUAGAAUAUUACAUGCAAUCAAUAAAACAAGGAGUGUACAUAGAACAAUAUCG
This is a non-coding RNA of Pelobates cultripes (western spadefoot toad), 372 nucleotides long. NCBI's taxonomy places the organism in Eukaryota, Metazoa, Chordata, Amphibia, Anura, Pelobatidae. The record is from the annotation of a GenBank genome assembly.